RNAcentral lists this transfer RNA (73 nucleotides) under Salmo salar (Atlantic salmon). It matches the Rfam family "tRNA". Rfam says of the family: Transfer RNA (tRNA) molecules are approximately 80 nucleotides in length. Lineage: Eukaryota; Metazoa; Chordata; Actinopteri; Salmoniformes; Salmonidae. The record is from Rfam by way of RNAcentral.
GUCCCUGUGGCUCAGUUGGUAGAGCAUGGUGUUUGCAACGCCAGGGUUGUGGGUUCAAUUCCCACGGGGGGCC